RNAcentral lists this ribosomal RNA (253 nucleotides) under uncultured bacterium. RNAcentral describes it as "partial 16S ribosomal RNA". It matches the Rfam family "Bacterial small subunit ribosomal RNA", at positions 524 to 776 of the family's 1533-position model. The record is from RNAcentral.
UACGUAGGGUGCGAGCGUUAAUCGGAAUGACUGGGCGUAAAGCGUGCGCAGGCGGUUCUCCAAGUCCGUUGUGAAAGCCCCGGGCUCAACCUGGGAAUGGCAGUGGAAACUAGGGGACUGGAAUCUGGCAGAGGGGGGUGGAAUGCCGCGUGUAGCAGUGAAAUGCGUAGAGAUGCGGCGGAACACCGAUGGCGAAGGCAGCCCCCUGGGCUGAGAUUGACGCUCAGGCACGAAAGCGUGGGGAGCAAACAGG